AAGCUCGUAGUUGAAUUUCGGGGUUUACUUAUUGGUCAGGCUUAAUUGUCUGUACUGGUGAGAUAAAUCUCUACCUUCUGAGGAACUUUCACGUCAUUAAUUUGAUGUGAUUGGAAAUCAGGACUAUUACUUUGAAAAAAUUAGAGUGUUUAAAGCAGGCUAAAGUCUGAAUACAUUAGCAUGGAAUAAUGAAAUAGGACGGACUGAUUCUAUUUCGUUGGUUUCUAGGAUCACCGUAAUGAUUAAUAGGGAUAGUUGGGGGCAUUAGUAUUCAAUUGUCAGAGGUGAAAUUCUUGGAUUUAUUGAAGACUAACUACUGCGAAAGCAUUUGCCAAGGAUGUUUUCAUUAAUCAAGAACGAAAGUUAGGGGAUCGAAGACGAUCAGAUACCGUCGUAGUCUUAACCAUAAACUAUGCCGACUAGGGAUCGGACGAAGUUAAUUUUAUAAUGACGCGUUCGGCACCUUACGGGAAACCAAAGUGUUUGGGUUCCGGGGGGAGUAUGGUCGCAAGGCUGAAACUUAAAGGAAUUGACGGAAGGGCACCACCAGGGGUGGAGCCUGCGGCUUAAUUUGACUCAACACGGGGAAACUCACCAGGUCCAGACAUAGUAAGGAUUGACAGAUUGAGAGCUCUUUCUUGAUUCUAUGGGUG
RNAcentral lists this ribosomal RNA (653 nucleotides) under uncultured Diversispora. RNAcentral's name for it is "SSU rRNA". It matches the Rfam family "Eukaryotic small subunit ribosomal RNA", at positions 624 to 1276 of the family's 1831-position model. The record is from RNAcentral. Lineage: Eukaryota; Fungi; Glomeromycota; Glomeromycetes; Diversisporales; Diversisporaceae.